AAUUAAGCGAUAAUAGAGAGAAAGAUAUUUUUGAAUUAACUACAGAGAACCAAUAUUUGCUGAGAGUUGGUGUUAAUAGAAAUAUGUAAUAAUCACUCUUAGCUUCUGCGCUGAAAAAUGGAAAUCUAGUAAGCAAAGACGUGUAACUACGAUAAAUGUUUAGGAUUCACUAAUGACAAUAAUUUGUUAAAGUCGAUCUGAAUGAGUGAUAACUUUUUAGUUAUAAGAUAAGGUGGUACCGCGGAAGCAAUCUUUCGUCCUUAUG
This 265-nucleotide non-coding RNA is filed under the name Geosporobacter ferrireducens. RNAcentral describes it as "T-box sequence". It matches the Rfam family "T-box leader". From Rfam's summary of the family: Uncharged tRNA acts as the effector for transcription antitermination of genes in the T-box leader family. T-boxes are found upstream of many aminoacyl-tRNA synthetase genes and some amino acid biosynthetic genes usually in Gram-positive bacteria. Lineage: Bacteria; Bacillati; Bacillota; Clostridia; Peptostreptococcales; Thermotaleaceae. The record is from RNAcentral.